CACGUAGGGGGCGAGCGUUAUCCGGAUUCAUUGGGCGUAAAGCGCGCGCAGGCGGCCGUCUAAGCGGGACCUCUAAUCCUGGGGCUCAACCUCAGGCCGGGUCCCGAACUGGAUGGCUCGGGUGCGGUAGGGGUAGGCGGAAUUCCCGGUGUAGCGGUGGAAUGCGCAGAUAUCGGGAAGAACACCGACGGCGAAGGCAGCCUACUGGGCCGUCACCGACGCUGAGGCGCGAAAGCUGGGGGAGC
Molecule: ribosomal RNA, 245 nt
Filed under: uncultured Senegalimassilia sp.
Lineage: Bacteria; Bacillati; Actinomycetota; Coriobacteriia; Coriobacteriales; Coriobacteriaceae
Description: partial 16S ribosomal RNA
Rfam family: Bacterial small subunit ribosomal RNA
Source: RNAcentral